UUGCACUGUUACGAGGAAUCAGACGCUCGAAAGUCCCGUACCAAAACACAUCAUGGCCGACGUUUAUCUCGAAUCGUUUCCUUUUUCGGUUUGGCUUCAGUUGGAAAGGCAAACUUCAUUGUCUCAUGAUUACCUUGUCGACGAGCUUACUAAGCACCUUGGCAUUACAAGGCAAGAUGUUCAAUGUAAAUUUUUCUGUGGACACUCUCAAAUUUUGCCUGGCAGUUGUGACCCAUGGCCCAAAAGCGAUACUUUUGUUAGAACAAGUAUCUCAUUGGCUGGCGGGAAAGGUGGCUUCGGUUCUAUGUUGAGAGCUAUUGGAGCCCAAAUUGAAAAAACUACCAACCGUGAAGCUUGUCGUGACUUGAGUGGGAGGCGGCUUAGGGAUAUUAAUGAGGAGAAAAGACUUAAAGAUUGGGUGUCAAAGCAAGCUGAUAGAGAAAAGGAGAGAGAAGAAAGAAAACAGAAAAAGCUGGAGAAGCUAAGACAGGAAUAUCAUCAUGAAUUUCAUGAUCCUGAAUAUUUUAGAGUGAGAUCAGAGGUUCUUGACACUGUGAAUGAGGCUUUGGAACAAGGAUUACAGGCUUCCAGUUCAACAGCUGUUGAGCCACCAUUGAAAAAACAUAAAGCUUCUGAGGAUGGGCCAGCAUUAAAAAAAACAGCCUUUUGGAUUGGGGUUUCCGAUGAAGAAUCUGACUCAUCGGAAGAUGAACACAAAUCAUCACCGAACACUAGCUGCAAGACCGAAGAAGGAGAAUCUAAAGCACCUGAACCCAACAGCCAAGCGUCUGACGAGCGGCAAACCGAACCAAUUGAAACGUCCGAUGAAACCGAAUCCCCCAAUACUCCAAAAGAAGAUAACAUUCCUGUGGCCAGUCCUACUAAAUCAGUAGUUGAUACCCCACCCAAACUGCAAACUGCUGAAGAGACUGUCGUUCCCUCCACACCUGCAGUCGAGGAACAGGUUGCCGUUCCUACACCAGCCGCUCCCGAACCGACGGUCUUCUUACCUAUCGACUUGCAGAAUUUCGACAGUUCCAAAGCUUUGGAGUCGUUAGGUCUUAACCAUCUGAAACACGAACUGCAACGACUUGGCCUGAAAUGUGGUGGAUCCCUUUCAGAACGUGCAUCACGUCUUUACAGUAUCAAAGGACUCUCCAUGGAGGAGAUAGAUCCCAGUCUCCUUUCCAAGCCGCCAAAGAAGAAAUGAAUGCAAAUUUACGGGCUUACCAAAUCAAAUUGAUGAAGCGUGCAUAACUGAAGGAGCAAUGCCGGGAUAGGAAAUUUCUGCCGGCCUGGCUGGAAUUUAUGAGUAUCUUCUGCUGUCCCAAGGUCGAUCUUAAUCAACCGCUGAUGCCCAACUCAUUUCCUCUUCGAAACGCGUGAAGAAAGGCAAUCAAGACGCGAUACAACCUCUCGUGAGUACAAGAACUCUAAAGUCCAGCCGCACGUCUAAAUUCUUCCGCCAUUCGUUCAACAUUGAUCGGCUCUCCAUUAAAGAAAACUCAAGGAGAAUGGCUAUUGUUAAUCUCACGCAACAAAAAACGUUCCAUGGGCCAAGGACUUGUAUAGUUGCCCAUCCAUUGACCCUCAAAGAUGAUUGCAGCAGCAGCUAUAGUGAAUUUUUAAAGAUGCUUUUAAGGAUAAAAGCGUGAGCCUUUUGUGCUCGCGCAAUUGCCUCACCAAAGGGUCUUUUUGCUCGUUGAAGAGAUACCUGGAUAUUGCUGGAGGCAGCUACUGGUUGCCCAACUGUUCGUUAUUACCUUCACAGACAGGUAGGGGGUACUUGAAGCCAAGUAUCAAUGCAAUCUUGGUAUUCAUCAGAAGUUAACGGGGGACCUGAAUGUGGAAAAUUGGACAGUGUUUGCUGCUGGGUUCGUGACUAAGUUUAAUUCGCUAUGAUCACCUUCUGUGUUUAUAUUUGAUUUUGACGGUUGAGUUGCUGAGUCGAGAUGUAUCCCGCUGCGUUUCGCUAAAGGAGGUUUCCCUUUUUUUUUUCAUUUGUGUUGUAAUUUUGCCAGGACGGAUAAAUGGCAUUUGCAAUUCAAAUUGUUUGGCGUGAGGUUCAACAAGUCCUUGAUUCUACUUUGUUAGUCGUUGCUCAAUAAACUUGUGUAAGCUCUGACCCUGGUUGCCAAUACAUUAUUCACGUUCUUUCAAA
This is an RNA transcript of Daphnia carinata, 2161 nucleotides long. It is a transcript of the gene named UBL fusion protein SDE2-like, with no coding region annotated. The transcript is spliced from 8 exons. NCBI's taxonomy places the organism in Eukaryota, Metazoa, Arthropoda, Branchiopoda, Diplostraca, Daphniidae. The record is from RefSeq and is a predicted model, not a curated record.